AGUGAACGCUGGCGGUAGGCCUAACACAUGCAAGUCGAACGGCAGCACAGUAAGAGCUUGCUCUUACGGGUGGCGAGUGGCGGACGGGUGAGGAAUACAUCGGAAUCUACUUUUUCGUGGGGGAUAACGUAGGGAAACUUACGCUAAUACCGCAUACGACCUACGGGUGAAAGCAGGGGAUCUUCGGACCUUGCGCGAUUGAAUGAUCCGAUGUCGGAUUAGCUAGUUGGCGGGGUAAAGGCCCACCAAGGCGACGAUCCGUAGCUGGUCGGAGAGGAUGAUCAGCCACACUGGAACUGAGACACGGUCCAGACUCCUACGGGAGGCAGCAGUGGGGAAUAUUGGGCAAUGGGCGCAAGCCUGAGCCAGCCAUACCGCGUGGGUGAAGAAGGCCUUCGGGUUGUAAAGCCCUUUUGUUGGGAAAGAAAAGCAGCAGGUUAAUACCCCGCUGUUCUGACGGUACCCAAAGAAUAAGCACCGGCUAACUUCGUG
Molecule: ribosomal RNA, 492 nt
Filed under: uncultured bacterium
Lineage: Bacteria
Description: partial 16S ribosomal RNA
Rfam family: Bacterial small subunit ribosomal RNA
Source: RNAcentral